RNAcentral lists this long non-coding RNA (1053 nucleotides) under Rattus norvegicus (Norway rat). Its description in RNAcentral is "long non-coding RNA NONRATT013934". Lineage: Eukaryota; Metazoa; Chordata; Mammalia; Rodentia; Muridae. The record is from RNAcentral.
UCCCAGGUCCAGGAACAGGAGAAUUUGGACUUGACCAAAAGGGUCUCCGAGGACAGCACAUGAGCCCAGUGCUUUCUCAGGGCAGUGCUUCAAGGGUCAGAAGUCUUGGAAUGGAGGGGCUUCCAAACUACAUAAGCAUUCGAUGGCAAACGUAAGUGGGUUCCCCCCCAAGAAUCGCGAGGUUGGACGAUCAUCCUCGGGCGCAUAGGAAGCAGCUCACCGUCCGCGCACACGCCAGCCAGUCCAGUCUCAGACCCCCUCAGCAAACAGCACUCCUCACUCCGGGCGCCACUGUCCGGACCAGACGUUGCUGUCCGAGCCGGAGAGGACAGAGAGUUUGCAGAAUUCGAACGCGGGAGCCAGGACCCACACCCAAUUCACACCCGCAACCCUGAGAGGUUACAGAGGCAAGGUGGUAGGACACCCGCGCGUGCAAAGCGCGUGAACGCGCGACUGCGCGUGUAAAGGGUGGUGCAACCAGAAAGGGAACCAGAGCCGCGGACUCCCCCCAGUCACCUGUCCGCCGAAGCCGGUGCGCACAGCCUUCAAGCCCUGUCGCGUCCGGUCCGGUCCGCGAGAGCCCUGGCCGCCUCUCGGGGACCCUGGGCCCCGCCGCCGGGUGCGAACCUCCUUCGCCCUUCUCUCUCCUUCUUACCCGGGCUCCGGUAGAACCGACGCGGCCAGACGGGACGGCAGCAAGACCCAGCCUCCGGCAGCCGCCAGAAGCUCCAUGAAAGCGCAGCACGCGGCCAAGCCCAAUCCUCCGGCUUCCAGCGCGGGGAGCGCGGGCGGCCCCACUCCGCUUGCCCCAGCCCAGCCCGACCCCUCGAGCGCCCCUCCGUGGGCUACGGCGCCCGCAGCGCGGCCAGCCACCCGAACUGAGCUGCGUUCCCGCCAGUGGCCGCCCGCGGACAGGUGUCUACUCUCCGCUCGGACCCGGGCCCCGCUGCACAGACCUCUUUCGCAGCUACGCCCCUGUCCCCGAGCGGUCCCAGGGACUCUCGGAACAGACUUGGGUCACGCAAUGUAAAUUCAACUUUACCUCCUGCCCGG